CAGUAGCCGCGGUAAUACAGAGGGUGCGAGCGUUAAUCGGAUUUACUGGGCGUAAAGCGUGCGUAGGCGGCUUCUUAAGUCGGAUGUGAAAUCCCUGAGCUUAACUUAGGAAUUGCAUUCGAUACUGGGAAGCUAGAGUAUGGGAGAGGAUGGUAGAAUUCCAGGUGUAGCGGUGAAAUGCGUAGAGAUCUGGAGGAAUACCGAUGGCGAAGGCAGCCAUCUGGCCUAAUACUGACGCUGAGAGACGAAAGCUAGGGGAGCAAAUGGGAUUAGAUACCCGCGUAGUCCCUGUCUCUUAUAC
RNAcentral lists this ribosomal RNA (301 nucleotides) under uncultured bacterium. Its description in RNAcentral is "partial 16S ribosomal RNA". It matches the Rfam family "Bacterial small subunit ribosomal RNA", at positions 509 to 807 of the family's 1533-position model. The record is from RNAcentral.